UGAAGGAAGCCUUGCAGUACAUUACAUGC
RNAcentral lists this non-coding RNA (29 nucleotides) under Mus musculus (house mouse). Lineage: Eukaryota; Metazoa; Chordata; Mammalia; Rodentia; Muridae. The record is from RNAcentral.